GUGUCAGCAGCCGCGGUAAUACGUAGGGUCCGAGCGUUGUCCGGAAUUAUUGGGCGUAAAGGGCUCGUAGGCGGUUUGUCGCGUCGGGAGUGAAAACACCGGGCUUAACUCGGUGCUUGCUUUCGAUACGGGCAGACUUGAGGUAUGCAGGGGAGAACGGAAUUCCUGGUGUAGCGGUGAAAUGCGCAGAUAUCAGGAGGAACACCGGUGGCGAAGGCGGUUCUCUGGGCAUUACCUGACGCUGAGGAGCGAAAGUGUGGGGAGCGAACAGGAUUAGAAACCCCCGUAGUCC
This 292-nucleotide ribosomal RNA is filed under the name uncultured bacterium. Its description in RNAcentral is "partial 16S ribosomal RNA". It matches the Rfam family "Bacterial small subunit ribosomal RNA", at positions 505 to 796 of the family's 1533-position model. The record is from RNAcentral.